This 723-nucleotide long non-coding RNA is filed under the name Dromaius novaehollandiae (emu). Its description in RNAcentral is "lncRNA (ENSDNVG00000006350.1)". The record is from RNAcentral. Lineage: Eukaryota; Metazoa; Chordata; Aves; Casuariiformes; Dromaiidae.
GAUUCAAAUUAACAACCAUGCAUUUUGUUUUUAUCUCCUGCUACAGAAUUCCUUGUCAGGACAUCACUGAACUGAAAGGACAGAAGAUAAAAGCUCUACGAAAAGGGAGCAGAGUCAUGAUUUUUAGCCUUUGGGACCAGCUGCACUCCACUAUUUCCUUUUUACAGGAAGUGAAAGCACAAAUUAGAUUUGUGCAGGAUUGUUGCCUACCUGUCCUGAGGAGUGUACACCUGUUAGAGAGCAGUGGGCAUAAUCUACAACAAGGAAGAAAGUCACAGACAAAGAGUAAAGUUUAUUCUAGGGAAGUUGUGGUUGGAGGAGGAAGGAAGAAGGGAGAACUGAGACUGAGAAGGAAACAGGCUCCUAUUAUCAGUGUCAGUGAGCAGACUUGGCUCUUGCAUGGUCGUCAGGUGCUGCCAAGAAAAUUCUAGCUGGCCUCACUCUGGAGCAUGGUCAGUGCAAAUGAAAUGUAUUAUUUACUGUAAAGCUGUCUUUUCUAAGCAUAUGAUGACUGUAUUUUUAAAUGCAGAUAAUUUAGGCAGACUUCUACAGGCAGGACUGUAGCACGUGCUUCCUGUAAGAACAUUCCUUGCUAUAUUUUAGUUGCCUGCUUGAAAGCACAGAAUUUCUAUAGCUUUUCAGUUAAUAGCUCGUAAGAAUUUCAUUUAAUAUUAGGGAACAGCACACUUUCUUUAAGCUGUUUUUGCUAAAAUCAAGACAAAA